This 3020-nucleotide long non-coding RNA is filed under the name Triticum aestivum (bread wheat). RNAcentral describes it as "long non-coding RNA (TAES_LNC005335)". The record is from RNAcentral. Lineage: Eukaryota; Viridiplantae; Streptophyta; Magnoliopsida; Poales; Poaceae.
UUUUUUGAGGAACUUUUUUUUUGAGGAUUAGUCUCACUCGACAGAUUGUAUAAGUAGCAGUCAAUAUUUUUUAAGUCGAUAAGCAAUCAGAUCGAACUAACAGUUUCCCAACAUUGUUCCUAGAAAAAAAAACUCCCUCUAUCCUAAAAUAAGUGUCUUAAGCUUAGUACAAUUUUGUGUUUGCUCAAAAAAAGCUUAAUACAACUUUAUACUAGAGCUAGUACAAAGUCGAUAAGCAAUCAGACCGAGGGAGUAGCAGCCUAUCAAUCUUAAAAUGCAACCCCUAUACUAAACAGGAAGGUCAUUCCAAUAUGAUGUAUGUGAGAAAAUUGAGACCAAGGCCGUACGGAAGUCAAGAAUGGGACCAGGAAACUUCUGGGUUGUCGAGGAGAUGUUACUUUCUCUAACAUUAGUGACACUGAUCCUAGUGAGAAUAACUGUCAAGGAGUAUGAGGAGAGGGGCCAAUCUUUAGUGCCUUGGUGGCCCUUUCUUUCUGGCUCGUCACCCCUGAGGUUCCCUGUAACAAAAGUGGAAAACAUGGUACCCUUUUAACAACUGGACAGCGAUUUAUUUGAAAGCACAAAUAUGAGGGCUUGUUACAAUGAUACCUGAGCGCGUGUCCAAGUUAUAUUUAAGAAGUCGAUAGGCAAUCAGACCGAACUAACAGUUUCCCAACAUUUCUGCAUCAAGGUUAGUAACAUAAGUGAUAUCAAUUAGAACCCUUUAGGUAGUUCCCUGUAACUGUUCACGCAAAACUAGACUAACAGCCUUAUAUGCCAUGAGCUCCCAAGUACAAAAGCAAUAUUGUACACAUAUAUACUUUGUUUUCAUAGGGCUGAUAAAUUGAAGAGAUUAAGUUUUUCGUAGCAAUACUUGUACACAUAGAUACUUGUGUUGAACUAUGUACUUCGUUGCUACUUUGUUUAAUAAAAUGGACGUGUGCAUCACCUGAUGCAGAACCCGUGGGUAAAACCUCCUUCUAGAAAAAAAUCAAUCACAUCGAAGUAGAUGAACACAUGUGCUCAACAAAAAUUUAGCCAAAGACACAUCGAUUGUUGGUGCUGGUACUGGUAGUAUAAACUCUUUUAAGUGAAGGCCUAAGCCAAAAAAAAAAAGAUGCUGGGCAGUGGCACAAGUUGGGAUAAACCAGGCAGGUGGGAGGGCCACGUGGAGGAAACCAGCUGCCGCCUGCCAAGGAAAACAGCCCAGGUGGUGUGUCGUGUGUACACCGACAGCCGAGAAGCAGAACGUGCUAAAAAUUAGAAGUAAAAUGUGGCACAAUUUCCUUUAAAUGGGUUAAAACGGAUGAAAAUCUCUUAAAUAGAGUAAUUCCUGUCAAAAAUGUCACAGGAAGGGGUAUAAACCGGAAUUUAUUAUACAUAAGACAAACUUCAUUUGGAAGCAAGAAAAGGCAUCAACAGAAAGUAUAUGGAAUAGUGUUUCCAACUCUAAUUAACCAACUUCAAAACCUACAAAACUGGUCACUGAACAAACACGUUAUAUCCCCAAAGAUGCAGAGUAGAAAAAUUUAGCAGUUUCAGUUUUUCCUGGAAAUCUGAUUCUUUGUUUUUUUAGGAACAAGUUGAUUCUUGUAUGAACAAAAUAUAUUGUCGACGUCCUAUAGAAGAUCCAGAUAGUGGUGUUGUGCUAACCAACGACGCGUACCCUACCUUAGGGAACAUGUGUCACCUCUAUAAGUAUAGAAAAAUAUACAGGUCUUGCAACCCUUUCCUUUGUAUCAGACCUUCCCUCUUUCUUUCGCUUGGCAUGCUAGUUCUUAGAAGUUAUACCUUUAGGUGUGCCUUGCUGCAGCACAUUGGAACCCUUCUGUGCUUGAUGAACAACCAACGAUGCUUGAUCUCAUCCCCUAACUCGGAGUAAAGGUGAAAAUGGACAUGUACACAAACUCUAUUAAAUAAGACUAGUGGAGCAUGUCAUGUGCCAUGAACAAACUUACCGGCAGAACUAAUGAAUCAUACUUUUAUCAUUCUUUCUAUGCAUACUUUUAACAGUUCCAAUUCUGCCUCCCUGUUUUCGAGCAAUAGCUUGGUUUUGCUUUUCCUUGAAGCAACUUUGAGAGACAAAAGUUCAGAAUUUUUGGCAUCAUAUUGUCAUCCAACAAUAUAUUUUCAUGUUUGAGAUCUAAGUGAAUAAUACAAUUCGUGUGAAGAUAAGGUAAAUCCUUGCAAAUUCCUUGAUUAUUUGUUAGCGCUUUCUUCAUGCAGAUUAAUGCGUCUACAAAAAGAAAAAGGAAGUUCCAUAUUUAGGAUAAUUGAAGCUUUUAAUCUUCAUAAGCACUACAUAAUAGACAAUAAUGUAGUGAGUAAUUUCAAAUUGUAUGUGUGAGGUGCUUGAAAUAGAUAUAUUUUUCUUGAACAAUAAAAGAUGGAAUGCAAUGUUGCGUCCCACAUGAUCUUACCUAUCAUAUUGACAUGAAGACCUCAUAUAGGUAGAUACUCACAAGCAGAGCAGUGGUGCUUAUUCAUCUGUCUUCACAGAUUUUUUGGAUGUAUCUUUCCAUAUUUCAUUAUGUGUGAACACAAUAUCUCAGCAUUCAAACAAUAUAUUUGUGCUAUGUCUUUAUCCGUUCAACCUCACUUCUUCCCAUUCAUAUGUGUGUUCGAGAAUAUUCUCACUUCUUCUCAUUCAUAUGCGCGUUCGAGAACUUCAUUGUGAAUAUCAUAUGCACAAUCAUCCUGCAGUUGCAAUAUGCCUUAUCAGUAUCAACUUGAGCUUCAAAAUUAACCGUGGUUAUGAACGAGACAGCCAAAAGUUAUCAUACCUGAAUGUAGAGAGCGCUAUCAAAUAAUCAAAGGAAUUUGCGGGGGUUUACAUUAUCUUCACGAGAGCCGAAUUUUUCACUUAGAUCUCAAACCUGAAAAUGUAUUGCUCGAUAACAACACGGUGCCAAAAAUUACAGACUUUAGCCUCUCAAGAUGCUUCGAAGAAAAGAUUAAACCUAGGUCAACUAUCACUUCAAAGUUCCAGUAGCAUGCUCUCCAGCUCAUUUCUCCUAGUU